GGUUAAGCGACUAAGCGUACACGGUGGAUGCCCUGGCAGUCAGAGGCGAUGAAGGACGUGCUAAUCUGCGAAAAGCGUCGGUAAGGUGAUAUGAACCGUUAUAGCCGGCGAUAUCCGAAUGGGGAAACCCAGUGCAAUUCGUUGCACUAUCGUUUGAUGAAUACAUAGUCAAACGAGGCGAACCGGGGGAACUGAAACAUCUAAGUACCCCGAGGAAAAGAAAUCAACCGAGAUUCCCCCAGUAGCGGCGAGCGAACGGGGAGCAGCCCGGAGUCUGAAUCAGCUUGUGUGUUAGUGGAAGCGUCUGGAAAGUCGCAGGGUACAGGGUGAUACUCCCGUACACUAAAACGCACAGG
Molecule: ribosomal RNA, 356 nt
Filed under: Klebsiella michiganensis
Lineage: Bacteria; Pseudomonadati; Pseudomonadota; Gammaproteobacteria; Enterobacterales; Enterobacteriaceae
Description: partial 23S ribosomal RNA
Rfam family: Bacterial large subunit ribosomal RNA
Source: RNAcentral